GAUUUAAAAAGAAAAAAAGAAAAACAUUUGUUUACUUCAAGAUAAUAAAAUGAAAUUGCCUCAUUUUCUCAAUAUAAAGUCAAAUAACAUUUUGUAAUUUACUUUAAUUUUCCUGUUGUACUUCUUGAUUACAUUUACACGCCGAAAAAAUACUUGAAAAAAAAAUGUACGGAUUUAAAUCAAUUGGAUUAUUUUUAAUGAUGAUUAUUAUGUUAAUGAUUUCUUCUGCUUUGGCAUUCUGUAAUCACAAUGGUCAUAUAUGCAAAAUGGAUGGAUCAAUUUAUGGUAAUUGUUGUUCUGGAUUUUGUUAUCAGCAAGUUGGAUGGCAAACUGGAUAUUGUAAAGGUGGUUAAAUAUUUAAAAAAAAAAAAAAAAACAAAUUCUCAUUUUUCCCAUAACAGUUUUGUAAUUUGUAUUUAAUAUUAUUAUGUAAUUUUAUAUUAAUAUAUAAUUAUAAUUAUAAUAAUUAUUAUUAUUAUUGUUAUUAUAUUGUAAAAUAUAGUAAAAAAGUAAUAAAUUUGAAAAAUUAACAA
Molecule: long non-coding RNA, 533 nt
Organism: Leptopilina boulardi
Lineage: Eukaryota; Metazoa; Arthropoda; Insecta; Hymenoptera; Figitidae
Exons: 2
Source: RefSeq, a predicted model, not a curated record